GUGUCAGCCGCCGCGGUAAUACGGAGGGUGCGAGCGUUAAUCGGAAUUACUGGGCGUAAAGCGCGCGUAGGCGGUUUGUUAAGUCGGAUGUGAAAUCCCCGGGCUCAACCUGGGAAUGGCAUUCGAUACUGGCCGACUAGAGUACGAGAGAGGGAGGUAGAAUUCCACGUGUAGCGGUGAAAUGCGUAGAUAUGUGGAGGAAUACCGGUGGCGAAGGCGGCCUCCUGGCUCGAUACUGACGCUGAGGUGCGAAAGCGUGGGUAGCAAACAGGAUUAGAAACCCGCGUAGUCC
Molecule: ribosomal RNA, 292 nt
Filed under: uncultured bacterium
Lineage: Bacteria
Description: partial 16S ribosomal RNA
Rfam family: Bacterial small subunit ribosomal RNA
Source: RNAcentral